UACGUAGGGUGCAAGCAUUAAUCGGAAUUAUUGGGCGUAAAGGGCGCGUAGGCGGAAGGUUAAGUCAGAUGUGAAAUUCCAAAGCUCAACUUUGGGGCUGCAUUUGAAACUGUCCUUCUCAGAGGUAAGACGGAGAAAGCGGAAUUCCACGUGUAGCGGUGAAAUGCGUAGAUAUGUGGAAGAACACCUGUGGCGAAAGCGGCUUUCUAGUCUAUACCUGACGCUGAGGCGCGAGAGCAAGGGGAGCAAACAGG
This 254-nucleotide ribosomal RNA is filed under the name uncultured bacterium. RNAcentral describes it as "partial 16S ribosomal RNA". It matches the Rfam family "Bacterial small subunit ribosomal RNA", at positions 524 to 776 of the family's 1533-position model. The record is from RNAcentral.